GUGCCAGCAGCCGCGGUAAUACGUAGGUGGCGAGCGUUGUCCGGAUUUACUGGGCGUAAAGGGCUUGUAGGCGGUCCGUUAAGUCCGAUGUGAAAUCUCCCGGCUCAACUGGGAGAGGUCAUUGGAUACUGGCGGACUAGAGGGGGGUAGAGGAAAGCAGAAUUCCUGGUGUAGCGGUGAAAUGCGUAGAUAUCAGGAGGAAUACCAGUGGCGAAGGCGGCUUUCUGGGCCUACCCUGACGCUGAGGAGCGAAAGCGUGGGGAGCAAACCGGAUUAGAUACCCCCGUAGUCC
This 292-nucleotide ribosomal RNA is filed under the name uncultured bacterium. RNAcentral describes it as "partial 16S ribosomal RNA". It matches the Rfam family "Bacterial small subunit ribosomal RNA", at positions 505 to 796 of the family's 1533-position model. The record is from RNAcentral.